AGAGUUUGAUCCUGGCUCAGGAUGAACGCUAGCGGCAGGCUUAACACAUGCAAGUCGAGGGGCAGCGGGGGUAGCAAUACCUGCCGGCGACCGGCAAACGGGUGCGGAACACGUACAGAAUCUACCUUAAUCUGGGGCAUAGCCCGGAGAAAUCCGGAUUAACUCCCCAUAAUAUACAUGGAAGGCAUCUUUUGAGUAUUAAAAAUUUAUUGGAUUGAGAUGACUGUGCGUCCCAUUAGCUAGUUGGUAGGGUAACGGCCUACCAAGGCGACGAUGGGUAGCUGGUGUGAGAGCACGACCAGCCACACGGGCACUGAGACACGGGCCCGACUCCUACGGGAGGCAGCAGUGAGGAAUAUUGGUCAAUGGACGCAAGUCUGAACCAGCCAUGCCGCGUGAAGGAUGAAGGCCUUCUGGGUUGUAAACUUCUUUUACCUGGGAAGAAACCUCUUUUUUCUAAGAGAGUUGACGGUACCAGAGGAAUAAGCACCGGCUAACUCCGUGCCAGCAGCCGCGGUAAU
Molecule: ribosomal RNA, 521 nt
Filed under: uncultured bacterium
Lineage: Bacteria
Description: bacterial SSU rRNA
Rfam family: Bacterial small subunit ribosomal RNA
Source: RNAcentral